GUAACCUACGGGACGCAGCAGUGGGGGAUAUUGCACAAUGGGCGCAAGCCUGAUGCAGCGACGCCGCGUGAGCGAAGAAGUAUUUCGGCAUGUAAAGCUCUAUCAGCAGGGAAGAAAAUGACGGUACCUGACUAAGAAGCUCCGGCUAAAUACGUGCCAGCAGCCGCGGUAAUACGUAUGGAGCAAGCGUUAUCCGGAAUUACUGGGUGUAAAGGGAGCGUAGGCGGCAAGGCAAGUCUGAUGUUAAAACCCAGGGCCCAACCCUGGGACUGCAUUGGACACUGUAUUGCUUGAGUACCAGAGAG
Molecule: ribosomal RNA, 305 nt
Filed under: uncultured bacterium
Lineage: Bacteria
Description: bacterial SSU rRNA
Rfam family: Bacterial small subunit ribosomal RNA
Source: RNAcentral